CACAAAAGCAAGCCUUUAAAUCUGAGCAUCUGAAACUGACUGGGCGUAAGAAACGACUGGAAUAUUGCAGCAUGCGGAGAAGAGGCCUCCUCUGGCACUCUGAACUCCACAGUAAGAGACCUCCUCUGGCUUGCCAAGCACAGAAGCAGUGUGUCUCCCCCAUCCCUACACGAGCUGCCUGUCAUUCCUAUCCCUCACUCCAUCUUCAUGGUGUCUCCUGACGCUGUUGGUGUCUCAUCCAGGACAUGACACCAGCAAUACAGGGAUCCUUGAAUUCAUCGACUUCCUGCAGCGCACAGCAAAACCUGGCAUGCAUGGUUUUUACCCUUUUAAAGACUCUAUUUGAAUCUGAAGAAUGUAAUUUGACUAUUUUGUACCUUUUCUCCCCCCAUGAAUUACUUUCUCCUCAUGGAAAUCUCCAUAGCUUAGAGGGUGGGGGAGGGGGUGUGGAUGGUCGAAGGGUAGAGACAGAACCAGGGGCCAGGAGAAAGCUGACAAAGCCCAGUCUUGCGGAGGGGUCUUGUGCCCGAGGAGAAACUGUUCUAGCUCUGAGCACGGGCCAACCUGGGUGCCAAUCCUGACUGCUACUUCCUGGCUCUGUGGCCUUGAGCAAGGGGCGAAACCUUCCCCCCUCUCAGUCUACUCAUCCCUACAGUAGGGAUGAUUCUUC
RNAcentral lists this long non-coding RNA (670 nucleotides) under Vulpes vulpes (red fox). Its description in RNAcentral is "lncRNA (ENSVVUG00000008024.1)". The record is from RNAcentral. Lineage: Eukaryota; Metazoa; Chordata; Mammalia; Carnivora; Canidae.